RNAcentral lists this ribosomal RNA (497 nucleotides) under uncultured bacterium. Its description in RNAcentral is "partial 16S ribosomal RNA". It matches the Rfam family "Bacterial small subunit ribosomal RNA", at positions 28 to 507 of the family's 1533-position model. The record is from RNAcentral.
GAUGAACGCUGGCGGCGUGCCUAAUACAUGCAAGUCGAGCGAACAGACGAGGAGCUUGCUCCUCUGACGUUAGCGGCGGACGGGUGAGUAACACGUGGAUAACCUACCUAUAAGACUGGGAUAACUUCGGGAAACCGGAGCUAAUACCGGAUAAUAUAUUGAACCGCAUGGUUCAAUAGUGAAAGACGGUUUUGCUGUCACUUAUAGAUGGAUCCGCGCCGCAUUAGCUAGUUGGUAAGGUAACGGCUUACCAAGGCGACGAUGCGUAGCCGACCUGAGAGGGUGAUCGGCCACACUGGAACUGAGACACGGUCCAGACUCCUACGGGAGGCAGCAGUAGGGAAUCUUCCGCAAUGGGCGAAAGCCUGACGGAGCAACGCCGCGUGAGUGAUGAAGGUCUUCGGAUCGUAAAACUCUGUUACUAGGGAUGAACAAAUGUGUAAGUAACUAUGCACGUCUUGACGGUACCUAAUCAGAAAGCCACGGCUAACUACGUG